RNAcentral lists this ribosomal RNA (250 nucleotides) under uncultured Chroococcidiopsis sp. Its description in RNAcentral is "partial 16S ribosomal RNA". It matches the Rfam family "Bacterial small subunit ribosomal RNA", at positions 796 to 1044 of the family's 1533-position model. Lineage: Bacteria; Bacillati; Cyanobacteriota; Cyanophyceae; Chroococcidiopsidales; Chroococcidiopsidaceae. The record is from RNAcentral.
CUAGCUGUAAACGAUGGAUACUAGGCGUUGAGAGUAUCGACCCUCUCAGUGUCGUAGCUAACGCGUUAAGUAUCCCGCCUGGGGAGUACGCGCGCAAGCGUGAAACUCAAAGGAAUUGACGGGGGCCCGCACAAGCGGUGGAGUAUGUGGUUUAAUUCGAUGCAACGCGAAGAACCUCACCAGGGCUUGACAUGUCCGGAACCCUGCCCAAAGGCGGGGGUGCCUACGGGAACCGGAACACAGGUGGUGC